Non-coding RNA from Magnetospirillum gryphiswaldense MSR-1 v2, 387 nucleotides. It matches the Rfam family "Bacterial RNase P class A". From Rfam's summary of the family: Ribonuclease P (RNase P) is a ubiquitous endoribonuclease, found in archaea, bacteria and eukarya as well as chloroplasts and mitochondria. Its best characterised activity is the generation of mature 5'-ends of tRNAs by cleaving the 5'-leader elements of precursor-tRNAs. NCBI's taxonomy places the organism in Bacteria, Pseudomonadati, Pseudomonadota, Alphaproteobacteria, Rhodospirillales, Rhodospirillaceae. The record is from Rfam.
CCAGACGGCUGGACGGCCGCCCUGCACGGCAACGUGUGGGGAGGAAAGUCCGGGCUCCACGGAAGCACGGUGCCGGAUAACGUCCGGCGGGGGUGACCCUAGGGAAAGUGCCACAGAAAGCAAACCGCCGCUGUCCGCAGCGGUAAGGGUGAAAGGGUGCGGUAAGAGCGCACCGCGGACCCGGCAACGGGAACGGCACGGCAAACCCCACCGGGAGCAAGACCAAAUAGGGGCGACAGUUUUCGGCCUUUUGGCCGGAACCAAACGCGCUUUCGCGUAGUCGCCCGGGUCGGUCGCGUGAGGCGUCCGGUAACGGACGUCCCAGAUGAAUGGCCGUCGCCAUGGGUAACCAUGGGACAGAACCCGGCUUACAGGCCGUCUGGCGCA